Molecule: transfer RNA, 65 nt
Filed under: Japanagallia multispina
Lineage: Eukaryota; Metazoa; Arthropoda; Insecta; Hemiptera; Cicadellidae
Description: tRNA-Trp
Source: RNAcentral
AAGAUUUUAAGUUAAAAAAACUAUUAACCUUCAAAGUUAAACUUACUUUUAAAUAGUAAAUCUUA